GAUGAACGCUGGCGGCGUGCCUAAUACAUGCAAGUCGAGCGAACAGACGAGGAGCUUGCUCCUCUGACGUUAGCGGCGGACGGGUGAGUAACACGUGGAUAACCUACCUAUAAGACUGGUAUAACUUCGGGAAACCGGAGCUAAUACCGGAUAAUAUAUUGAACCACAUGGUUCAAUAGUGAAAGACGGUUUUGCUGUCACUUAUAGAUGGAUCCGCGCCGCAUUAGCUAGUUGGUAAGGUAACGGCUUACCAAGGCAACGAUGCGUAGCCGACCUGAGAGGGUGAUAGGCCACACUGGAACUGAGACACGGUCCAGACUCCUACGGGAGGCAGCAGUAGGGAAUCUUCCGCAAUGGGCGAAAGCAUGACGGAGCAACGCCGCGUGAGUGAUGAAGGUCUUCGGAUCGUAAAACUCUGUUAUUAGGGAAGAACAAAUGUGUAAGUAACUAUGCACGUCUUGACGGUACCUAAUCAGAAAGCCACGGCUAACUACGUG
RNAcentral lists this ribosomal RNA (497 nucleotides) under uncultured bacterium. RNAcentral's name for it is "partial 16S ribosomal RNA". It matches the Rfam family "Bacterial small subunit ribosomal RNA", at positions 28 to 507 of the family's 1533-position model. The record is from RNAcentral.